CCUACGGGUGGCAGCAGUGAGGAAUAUUGCACAAUGGGGGGAACCCUGAUCCAGCGACGCCGCGUGAGUGAAGAAGUAUCUCGGUACGUAAAGCUCUAUCAGCAGGGAAGAAAAUGACGGUACCUGACUAAGAAGCGCCGGCUACCUACGUGCCAGCAGCCGCGGUAAUCCGUAGGGGGCACGCGGUAUCCGGAUUUACUGGGUGUAAAGGGAGCGUAGACGGCACUGCAAGUCCGGAGUGAAAGCCCAAGGCUUAACCAUGGGACUGCUCUGGAAACUGUGGAGCUUGAGUGCGGGAGGGGCAGGCGGAAUGCGUAGUGUAGCGGUGAAAUGCGUAGAUAUUAGGAGGAACACCGGCUGCGAAGGCGGCCUGCUGGACCGCAACUGACGUUGAGGCUCGAAAGCGUGGGGAGCAAACAGGAUUAGAUACCCGGGUAGUC
This 440-nucleotide ribosomal RNA is filed under the name uncultured bacterium. Its description in RNAcentral is "partial 16S ribosomal RNA". It matches the Rfam family "Bacterial small subunit ribosomal RNA", at positions 338 to 795 of the family's 1533-position model. The record is from RNAcentral.